Long non-coding RNA from Aethalodelphis obliquidens (Pacific white-sided dolphin), 2742 nucleotides. RefSeq lists it as uncharacterized. The transcript has 2 exons. The record is from RefSeq and is a predicted model, not a curated record. Lineage: Eukaryota; Metazoa; Chordata; Mammalia; Artiodactyla; Delphinidae.
AGUUUGCUUUCUGUCUGUGAGUCUGUUUCUAAAACCCCAGUGUCUUGAUUGGUGCCCAAGGCCCUCCACUGUCUGAGACCCACCCACUGCUGGGCAGAUGUCCUGCCCCCUGUGCCCAGCUAGCCUCUCCUUUAACAGGUGCAGGUCUCUGAAAUCUCCAGGCCUGCGGGGAAACUCAAAGCCUCAGAGGCCACAGAUCCCAUAAGAGUGGGAGGUGGCAGAGCAGAUGACAGUAGGACACCUAUGACAGCAGACUGUUGGCCAUUGGUGUUUCCCUGCCAGGUCUCCCAAUGGCCGUGCUGGGUAGGGCCUUGCAGGGCUGUCCUGGAGGCUGUUCCAGGCUCAGUCCUGCCUCCAGGCCCUGGUCCAGGCUGGGCCCUCUCCUGCCAUGUCCUCCUCUCUUGUGCAUCUCCUGUCCUUUCCUCAGCACUUAACCUCCCAUGAAACUUCCUAAAAUACUCCAGGAAACAAAAGCUUGCCUCCUGCCGUACCCAAAACAAAUCUGUCCAAAACCGGAUUCAUCUUCCUUUUCCAAACUAGAGGAGUGCAGUAGCUCAUUUAACAGCAUCCUCACUUGUACUCAUCUGGAAAGCGCUGUUUGUCCUUGAUUUACAGGGAGUGAAUCUCCUGGCUGUGCAGUCAGUGUCUGGGUUCAAAUCUGUGACUUGGGUGACUGACUUAACCUCUCUGAGCCUCGGAUUCCUUAUCUGCGUCAGGGCCAAUAACAGGCCUUCCUCUCGGAGUCGGUGACGUUGGCCCAGCUGGCACCACGCUGGGCUUGCUAAGGACUCAGGUGAUCCCUGCUUGUCCUCCGUCUCCUGAAUUACCCCUACGGAGAAGUGCUUUUCUGUCAUGGAGUUCGUGCCCGAGCCUCACACCUCGGACAAGCGGGCUCCUAUUAGGAAUAUUAUUAGGGCCGAUUUCCCUGAACGUCCCAUCCUUCCCCUCCUCCCCAUGGGGCUGCACUGGCCCAGUGACCGGCUGCUGGGGCGGAGGAGACCUCCAGACACAAGACGAUAUGAAAGGGGGAAGAGAAAGAGUUCAUGUUCUGGGAAAACAAAGCAAAGAAAUGUCUAUGUUGAUAUUUGAGAUGGCCGGCAGCUCCCCUUCCCUCUGGGGAAAGAAAAGCCGGGCGAGGCUCCCUUUCCAGGCGGGUUGGGCCAGGCCCCACUUUCGAGGCCACAGCCCCACCUGGUGGUGCUGUCACCACAUGGUCACCUCUCUUGCUGGGGCCUGUCUGUCACUGUCCUCCUACUGACAAGAAUCUGCCCAUGAUUUCACCACCAAACACAGUAUCUGAUCUACUUCCUCUACAAUAAACUGUUGCCACUGGGAAGGUUCUGUUCAUUCCUGUCCCAACGAGACUUCCAUCUGGGGCAAAACAUUCUUUUCUAAAGGGGAAAUGCCAUUUCGGCAACAUAAAUCUGACACACCUUAUACUCGCCUGGAUUGUAGGGCAGCACCCAUUUCUCUAGGAUAAAAAAGUCACCUUCCAGGCUGAUACCUGCACAGGUAGCCUGCCUCCCUCUACGCAUCUCCUGCUUUCUCCUGUGCCCCCGCUGCUCCCCCUCAGCAUCCUGCUGCGGGUCUGGGCACCUGGCAGCCCCUCCUGGGAACGGUCUUCCCGUUCCUGGCGGGUUCGUCAGGUUCAUUCUGAGCUGCUUGGAUCCAAAUGCCACCUGUCUAAGGGAGGCCUUCACUCUGUGCCCUCAACGAUAAAAUCGUGAUCGUGUGUCCUCUCCCUUAUGACACUGGGAAGUGUCUUUGUCCCUUAUUUAUUAUCUGUGUCUCUCCCACCUACAACGUGAGCAUCCUUCAUGUUUCACGUUUGUGUUACUGGUCUUGUUCUCUGUUUUCCUGGCAGCAUAUAGUGCCUGGCUAUAGACACACUCCAUAACCGUUUGUUGAAUGAACUCAUUAAUUUAUCUUUCAAAACUGGGCUCCUCUGACAGCUCAGCAGCCGUUGCCUGUUCCAGGGCAAGGACCGGGGAACGAGAGGAAUGACGGUGAUUUUGCAGGAAGCAGCGAGAUAGAUCACUGAGUGUGUGGAUUGGCCUGUCUCGGAAGAGAUCACUGAGUUCCUCGUUAACUCACUGAGCAGGUCGCCUGGACCAGUGCGGCUGGGUCUCCCCUGUGCUGGGAAGAGACUCGCAUCCCUUUUCAGUAACCUUUCCAAGUGCCUUAGCUGUCACUGGGCCCUCCCUUCUCGUCUCUAACAUGGAGGUUGUGUGUGUGUGUGUGUGUGUGUGUGUGUGUGUGUGCGCGCGCGCGCACGAGCCGUGACUCUCACGCCCUCUGUGCAGGGUGAGGGGAGGAAGGGUAUUUUGUUGUGGACACUCCUGAGGCUAUUUUUGCUGCUUCGGAGACUGAAAGUGCCACAAAGAGGGCGGAGGAGCAGCGGGUAAACCCUCGCUGUUGUGCUUGCGCCGCUCUCCCGCAGAGCUCUCAGACCCUGUCCUGUUGGUGAGAAAAGGAAGGACAACCAUGGGAGAGAUUUCCGAGAGCCCGGUCUUCUGGUCUACACCCCCGUCCGUGCUGCCCUGCUGACCUGACAGCCUUCUUGGUCCUCACCCAUGGUGGCAGCGACAAUGACAGCCUGGUGACAGGCAGACAUGGAUUUUCUCCUAUCUCUUAAUUGUUCCAAAAUGUGCUGUGUCAAUACAAGUUAAUUGCUUAACUGUGCAACACCCUUCCACUCCUUCAGUUUCGUCGGCUUUAAUGAUUCAUUAAACCUGUUUUGCU